RNAcentral lists this ribosomal RNA (499 nucleotides) under uncultured Glomeromycotina. RNAcentral's name for it is "SSU rRNA". It matches the Rfam family "Eukaryotic small subunit ribosomal RNA", at positions 591 to 1092 of the family's 1831-position model. The record is from RNAcentral. Lineage: Eukaryota; Fungi; Glomeromycota.
CCAAUAGCGUAUAUUAAAGUUGUUGCAGUUAAAAAGCUCGUAGUUGAAUUUCGGGAUCAAAGGAUCGGUCAUGCCUUGGUAUGUACUGGUUUUAUUGGUUCUCACCUUCUAAAGAACCAUAAUGUCAUUCAUUUGAUGUUAUGGGGAAUUAGGACUGUUACCUUGAAAAAAUUAGAGUGUUUAAAGCAGGCUUACGCUUGAAUACAUUAGCAUGGAAUAAUGAAAUAGGACGUUCGAUCCUAUUUUGUUGGUUUCUAGGAUUGACGUAAUGAUUAAUAGGGAUAGUUGGGGGCAUUAGUAUUCAAUUGUCAGAGGUGAAAUUCUUGGAUUUAUUGAAGACUAACUACUGCGAAAGCAUUUGCCAAGGAUGUUUUCAUUAAUCAAGAACGAAAGUUAGGGGAUCGAAGACGAUCAGAUACCGUCGUAGUCUUAACCAUAAACUAUGCCGACUAGGGAUCGGAUGAUGUUAAUUUUUUAAUGACUCAUUCGGCGCCUUACG